RNAcentral lists this long non-coding RNA (1247 nucleotides) under Monodelphis domestica (gray short-tailed opossum). RNAcentral's name for it is "lncRNA (ENSMODG00000032877.2)". The record is from RNAcentral. Lineage: Eukaryota; Metazoa; Chordata; Mammalia; Didelphimorphia; Didelphidae.
AAGGAAUCCCAUGCAUAAUUUACAUCUCUUUAUGCUUAUAAAGUGCCUUGCUUUGAGGCCACUUAGAAAGGUGUCAAACACAUCUAAAUAAUUAUCCUUAACUUUGUUACUUCAUUUUUCUCUUGUGCCAUUAGAGUUGCUAAUCAUGUCUGAAAGUGUUAAAGGGGGACUCUUGGGUGUGGGGAAGGGGCAGAGAUAGAGAAGGAAACCAAGCUUCAAUAGGGACAGGUUUGACCUAGAUUCCCAGCUGCCCAUUCUUUGAAUAUCACAAGUCAAUUAAAUGUGGAGGGGGAAGGGAGUUAAACUUCCAGAGGCAUUACAUUAAUUCAUCCCACUACCUUGACUGUCCUUCUUUCCCAGACUAAAUCACCAAAGUCCAAGUUGGUUGUGGACAGGCCACCUUCAGAUGUGCACAUGAGAUUAGCUUCCAGCCUAUCUGCCUUUAUUCUUCCUUGAGAGGAAGCUAAUUUAUUCUGCCACACGCUUCAGAAAUGCUUAACCUUGUUAUUUGAUAGCCAUGUGUUUCAGAGCUGAGGUAGGAGGAGCUGUUUAAACUCCUUUUUUGCCGAGAGAUGGAAUGUUAGAACUGAAAGGUUCUGUGACAGUUGGGGAUGACAGUUGUGGGAAGAAUCAGCUAACUGGAGGCAAAAGUGCCCAGGCCAGAGAGUUCUCGGAGCUGCUUCAGAAUGGCAUCCAAUGCUAGUUCAGGAUGACAAGUGAUGGCCCAGGAUGAUGUGGAUGACUUUGGCAUAUUUGAUGUGUGACUAGACUCUAGCUGCCCCAAAGUACCUGCUUCAACCACCUUCAUGACUGUUGGAACAAAUUGUGCUCAUCUGACUUUUCCUCUAUGAGAAGCCUCCACAUGCUUGGAGUAGCUAUCCACUCAAGUCACUGACUUAAGGCCUGUCAGUUGCCCUCAACCUGGCUAAACCAGGUCCACCUAGAGAGUUUUACUGGGGUGUGGCUGCUAUGCCUGCUACAGUUUCUUAGAGCCACAGGCAAGAAUUGGGUGAAAGAUAGAUACCAAAGGUGGAAGAGUAGCCCUGAAAAGAUAAGACCUCAGCAAGUCUUCAUGCCAGAGGCUAGUCUUCCCUGAACACUCCAUACCCUCCAAGGAAUUACACUAGAGGAGAUAUACCUCCCCUUAUAGCUCUAAAACAAUAACCAUGUGAAUUCUUUGUAGAAGUGAAACCAUUAAAGACAGAAGCCCCAAAGGAAUAAAAAUGUUUUGCAAAAAUGUGCCCUCA